This is a long non-coding RNA of Scatophagus argus, 1100 nucleotides long. RefSeq lists it as uncharacterized. The record is from RefSeq and is a predicted model, not a curated record. Lineage: Eukaryota; Metazoa; Chordata; Actinopteri; Scatophagidae. The transcript is spliced from 2 exons.
UCUAAUUUUACCCCUGGUGCCCAUAUAUGAAUUUUGGAACCUUUUUUUUAUUUUUUUAUUUUUUUAACUGAAAGUAACAAGAAUGUGAUAUAGAGGGGAAGGAAGGUAAAGCAUCUGGAGGUUGAUGAGGAAACAGUUAAAGCAGAGGCAGGGAAGAGGAGUUAAGGACAGCAUGAGACAUUAUUAAAUUUUACAAAAUGCACUGGUUCCAAUGGGUACUCGGCUCCCUCGGAGGAUUUUUAACAGGAAAGCGGCAGAAACUCACUCUCCCUGUGGGAGAAAAUCCAGUGGACAACAGGAGAGGAGCUCCUUCAGUCAUGCCGAGCCUCAGGCCCGACAGACUCAGCCAAACAUAGAACCUCCUCUACACAGCAUUAUGCAGCUCCACCUCCUCCACCUUGCCCUUGAAGAUGGUAAUGACUGCGGUACGGAGAGCCACAAAACAGCAGGCAACAAAUGAACACACGGCAUCUUCAUCACAUUAAUACAAAUCGAACAAUGAUUCUCUUCUCAGAUGACAUUGUUUUUUUUCUUUUCCUUUUUUAUUCUUUGCCUUACCCUUUGGUACAAAUGAGCACAGCUUAAUUACAACUCUCAUCACAUGCCUCUGUGAUUCAUGCAUGAAUUUGAUUUGUCUUGUUUGUUUUCCAUUUGUGCCCUUUUGACCCAUGAUAUGGAUGUACUACAUGGCAAAGUAAAAUGGAUGUAACGCAGUACAGAGUCUGUAACUGUGUGAAAUAAAUGGAGCUACUGCGUAUUUUUGGAAACUUAGAAAAGGACUGUAAGGAAAAUGAUGAACUAACUUGUAAAGAAAAAAUGUGUAAUAUGCUCAGAUGGGUUUGGCUUGUGUCACAUAUAAUUUCUUCUGCCUUAAAGAUGAAUAAUGUGCAGACGCUUUCUUUGUAAACUCUUUCUUAAACUGCAACACCUUAAAAAAAUGUGGGAAAUUGUAUUUUAGUUGAUGCAAUAACUGUGUUUUCCAAUGUUUUUUUUUAUCAUUAUUAAUAACCACUACUGCACAGAAUUUCUUUGGAUACUUAUCAAUGAUUACUAUUUGCAGCCAUCACUGUAUAAAUACACAAUAAAGACUUACUAUUAAC